This 219-nucleotide long non-coding RNA is filed under the name Daucus carota (carrot). Its description in RNAcentral is "long non-coding RNA (DCAR_LNC001563)". Lineage: Eukaryota; Viridiplantae; Streptophyta; Magnoliopsida; Apiales; Apiaceae. The record is from RNAcentral.
CUUGUUCGACUUGGAUUUGGGCCCAUACUAACUUUCUGUCUUUGUCUUUGGUACAUGAGCCUGUUUAUCUAUUAUAAUUUUAUUUAAGUAAAAUUUUAUUUUAAAAGCUUUAUUUAAGUAACUUAGUAGCUAAAAAAAUUUUCAGAUCAAUUUUCCGAAUUUUUGCACUAAAAUUCUGUCCGAGACAGUCUAAUGUAUUAUUUUGGGUGGUCACAUUUU